This 837-nucleotide ribosomal RNA is filed under the name uncultured marine bacterium. Its description in RNAcentral is "bacterial SSU rRNA". It matches the Rfam family "Bacterial small subunit ribosomal RNA", at positions 56 to 941 of the family's 1533-position model. The record is from RNAcentral.
UGCAAGUCGAACGAAGUAGCAAUACUUAGUGGCAGACGGGUGAGUAACAUGUAGGUAUCUGCCCUUUGGCCUGGAAUAACACGAGGAAACUUGUGCUAAUACCGGAUAAGUCUUUACGGAGAAAGCUUUAUGCACCAUUGGAUGAGCCUGCACUUGAUUAGUUUGUUGGUGGGGUAAUGGCCUACCAAGACUGUGAUCAAUAGCUGAUUUGAGAGGAUGAUCAGCCACAUUGGGACUGAGACACGGCCCAAACUCCUACGGGAGGCAGCAGUGGGGAAUCUUGCACAAUGGAGGAAACUCUGAUGCAGCGAUGCCGCGUGAGUGAAGAAGGCCCUUGGGUUGUAAAGCUCUUUCGUCGGGGAAGAAAAUGACUGUACCCGAAUAAGAAGGUCCGGCUAACUUCGUGCCAGCAGCCGCGGUAAUACGAAGGGACCUAGCGUAGUUCGGAAUUACUGGGCUUAAAGAGUUCGUAGGUGGUUGAAAAAGUUAGUGGUGAAAUCCCAGAGCUUAACUCUGGAACUGCCAUUAAAACUUUUCAGCUAGAGUAUGAUAGAGGAAAGCAGAACUUCUAGUGUAGAGGUGAAAUUCGUAGAUAUUAGAAAGAAUACCAAUUGCGAAGGCAGCUUUCUGGAUCAUUACUGACACUGAGGAACGAAAGCAUGGGUAGCGAAGAGGAUUAGAUACCCUCGUAGUCCAUGCCGUAAACGAUGUGUGUUAGACGUUGGAAAUUUAUUUUCAGUGUCGCAGGGAAACCGAUAAACACACCGCCUGGGGAGUACGACCGCAAGGUUAAAACUCAAAUGAAUUGACGGGGACCCGCACAAGUAGUGGAGCAUG